AACGAACGCUGGCGGCAUGCCUAACACAUGCAAGUCGAACGAGACCUUCGGGUCUAGUGGCGCACGGGUGCGUAACGCGUGGGAACCUGCCCUUAGGUUCGGAAUAACUCCCCGAAAGGGGUGCUAAUACCGGAUAAUGUCUUCGGACCAAAGAUUUAUCGCCUUUGGAUGGGCCCGCGUUGGAUUAGCUAGUUGGUAGGGUAAAAGCCUACCAAGGCGACGAUCCAUAGCUGGUCUGAGAGGAUGAUCAGCCACACUGGGACUGAGACACGGCCCAGACUCCUACGAGAGGCAGCAGUGGGGAAUAUUGGACAAUGGGCGAAAGCCUGAUCCAGCAAUGCCGCGUGAGUGAUGAAGGCCUUAGGGUUGUAAAGCUCUUUUACCCGGGAUGAUAAUGACAGGACCGGGAGAAUAAGCUCCGGCUAACUCCG
Molecule: ribosomal RNA, 431 nt
Filed under: uncultured bacterium
Lineage: Bacteria
Description: partial 16S ribosomal RNA
Rfam family: Bacterial small subunit ribosomal RNA
Source: RNAcentral